RNAcentral lists this ribosomal RNA (465 nucleotides) under uncultured bacterium. RNAcentral's name for it is "partial 16S ribosomal RNA". It matches the Rfam family "Bacterial small subunit ribosomal RNA", at positions 28 to 507 of the family's 1533-position model. The record is from RNAcentral.
GACGAACGCUGGCGGCGUGCUUAACACAUGCAAGUCGAACGGAAAGGCCCUGCUUGCAGGGUCCUCGAGUGGCGAACGGGUGAGUAACACGUGGGUGAUCUGCCCUGCACUUCGGGAUAAGCCUGGGAAACUGGGUCUAAUACCGGAUAGGAGCCAUUUUUAGUGUGAUGGUUGGAAAGUUUUUUCGGUGUAGGAUGAGCUCGCGGCCUAUCAGCUUGUUGGUGGGGUAAUGGCCUACCAAGGCGGCGACGGGUAGCCGGCCUGAGAGGGUGGACGGCCACAUUGGGACUGAGAUACGGCCCAGACGCCUACGGGAGGCAGCAGUGGGGAAGAUUGCACAAUGGGCGCAAGCCUGAUGCAGCGACGCCGCGUGGGGGAUGACGGCCUUCGGGUUGGAAACUCCUUUCGCUAGGGACGAAGCUUUUUGUGACGGUACCUAGAUAAGAAGCACCGGCUAACUACGUG